AUUGAACGCUGGCGGCAUGCCUUACACAUGCAAGUCGAACGGUAACAGGUCUUCGGAUGCUGACGAGUGGCGAACGGGUGAGUAAUACAUCGGAACGUGCCUAGUAGUGGGGGAUAACUACCCGAAAGAGUGGCUAAUACCGCAUGAGCUCUACGGAUGAAAGCAGGGGCACGACAGACCUUGGUCUACUAACGCGGAAGAUGGCAGAGUAGGUAGUUGAUGGGAUAAAAGCUUACCAAGCCGACGAUCUGUAGCUGGUCUGAGAGGACGAUCAGCCACACUGGGACUGAGACACGGCCCAGACUCCUACGGGAGGCAGCAGUGGGGAAUUUUGGACAAUGGGCGAAAGCCUGAUCCAGCAAUGCCGCGUGCAGGAUGAAGGCCUUCGGGUUGUAAACUGCUUUUGUACGGAACGAAAAGCCCUGGGUUAAUAACCUGGGGUCAUGACGGUACCGUAAGAAUAAGCACCGGCUAACUACGUGCCAGCCGCCGCCGUAA
RNAcentral lists this ribosomal RNA (498 nucleotides) under uncultured bacterium. Its description in RNAcentral is "partial 16S ribosomal RNA". It matches the Rfam family "Bacterial small subunit ribosomal RNA", at positions 30 to 523 of the family's 1533-position model. The record is from RNAcentral.